GACGAACGCUGGCGGCGUGCUUAACACACGCAAGUCGAACGGAAAGGCCCCUUUGGGGGUACUCGAGUGGCGAACGGGUGAGUAACACGUGCGUAACCUGCCCUUGACUUCGGGAUAACUUCAGGAAACUGGGGCUAAUACCGGCUAGGAAUCCUUGCUGCAUGGUGGGGGUUGGAAAGCUUCGGCGGUUUGGGAUGGACUCGCGGCCUUUCAGCUUGUUGGUGGGGUAGUGGCUUACCAAGGCUUUGACGGGUAGCCGGCCUGGGAGGGGGACCGGCCACAUUUGGACUGGGAUUCGGGCCAGACUCCUACGGGAGGCAGCAGUGGGGAAUAUUGCACAAUGGGCGGAAGCCUGAUGCAGCAACGCCGCGUGCGGGAUGACGGCCUUCGGGUUGUAAACCGCUUUCAGCAGGGGCGAAGCUUGUGGUGACGGUACCUGCAGAAGAAGCACCGGCUAACUACGUG
Molecule: ribosomal RNA, 465 nt
Filed under: uncultured bacterium
Lineage: Bacteria
Description: partial 16S ribosomal RNA
Rfam family: Bacterial small subunit ribosomal RNA
Source: RNAcentral